AAUCCGACCUAGGCUCAUCUGAUGGCGCAAGGCCCGAAGGUCCCCUGCUUUCUCCCGUAGGACGUAUGCGGUAUUAGCGUCCGUUUCCGAACGUUAUCCCCCACUACCAGGCAGAUUCCUAGGCUUUACUCACCCGUCCGCCGCUCUCGAGAGAAGCCAGCUUCUCUCUACCGCUCGACUUGCUUGUGUUAGGCCUGCCGCCAGCGUUCAAUCUGAGCCAGGAUCAAACUCU
RNAcentral lists this ribosomal RNA (232 nucleotides) under uncultured bacterium. Its description in RNAcentral is "partial 16S ribosomal RNA". The record is from RNAcentral.